Molecule: transfer RNA, 85 nt
Filed under: Acholeplasmataceae bacterium
Lineage: Bacteria; Bacillati; Mycoplasmatota; Mollicutes; Acholeplasmatales; Acholeplasmataceae
Description: tRNA-Leu
Rfam family: tRNA
About the family: Transfer RNA (tRNA) molecules are approximately 80 nucleotides in length. Their secondary structure includes four short double-helical elements and three loops (D, anti-codon, and T loops). Further hydrogen bonds mediate the characteristic L-shaped molecular structure. tRNAs have two regions of fundamental functional importance: the anti-codon, which is responsible for specific mRNA codon recognition, and the 3' end, to which the tRNAs corresponding amino acid is attached (by aminoacyl-tRNA synthetases). tRNAs cope with the degeneracy of the genetic code in two manners: having more than one tRNA (with a specific anti-codon) for a particular amino acid; and 'wobble' base-pairing, i.e. permitting non-standard base-pairing at the 3rd anti-codon position.
Source: RNAcentral
CCUCGUGUGGUGGAAUUGGUAGACGCGUCGGACUCAAAAUCCGGUGGAGAAAUCCGUGCUGGUUCGAUCCCAGUCACGAGGACCA